AGUGAACGCUGGCGGUAGGCCUAACACAUGCAAGUCGAACGGCAGCACAGUAAGAGCUUGCUCUUACGGGUGGCGAGUGGCGGACGGGUGAGGAAUACAUCGGAAUCUACUUUUUUGUGGGGGAUAACGUAGGGAAACUUACGCUAAUACCGCAUACGACCUACGGGUGAAAGCAGGGGAUCUUCGGACCUUGCGCGAUUGAAUGAGCCGAUGUCGGAUUAGCUAGUUGGCGGGGUAAUGGCCCACCAAGGCGACGAUCCGUAGCUGGUCUGAGAGGAUGAUCAGCCACACUGGAACUGAGACACGGUCCAGACUCCUACGGGAGGCAGCAGUGGGGAAUAUUGGACAAUGGGCGCAAGCCUGAUCCAGCCAUACCGCGUGGGUGAAGAAGGCCUUCGGGUUGUAAAGCCCUUUUGUUGGGAAAGAAAAGCAGCAGGUUAAUACCCCGCUGUUCUGACGGUACCCAAAGAAUAAGCACCGGCUAACUUCGUG
RNAcentral lists this ribosomal RNA (492 nucleotides) under uncultured bacterium. RNAcentral's name for it is "partial 16S ribosomal RNA". It matches the Rfam family "Bacterial small subunit ribosomal RNA", at positions 29 to 507 of the family's 1533-position model. The record is from RNAcentral.